RNAcentral lists this ribosomal RNA (499 nucleotides) under uncultured bacterium. Its description in RNAcentral is "partial 16S ribosomal RNA". It matches the Rfam family "Bacterial small subunit ribosomal RNA", at positions 30 to 523 of the family's 1533-position model. The record is from RNAcentral.
AUUGAACGCUGGCGGCAUGCCUUACACAUGCAAGUCGAACGGCAGCACGGGAGCAAUCCUGGUGGCGAGUGGCGAACGGGUGAGUAAUAUAUCGGAACGUGCCCAGUAGUGGGGAUAACCCGGCGAAAGCCGGAUUAAUACCGGAUACGACCUGAGGGUGAAAGCGGGGGAUCGCAAGACCUCGCGCUAUUUGAGCGGCCGAUAUCAGAUUAGCUUGUUGGUGGGGUAAAAGCCUACCAAGGCGACGAUCUGUAGCUGGUCUGAGAGGACGACCAGCCACACUGGGACUGAGACACGGCCCAGACUCCUACGGGAGGCAGCAGUGGGGAAUUUUGGACAAUGGGCGCAAGCCUGAUCCAGCCAUGCCGCGUGCGGGAAGAAGGCCUUCGGGUUGUAAACCGCUUUUGUCAGGGAAGAAACGGCUCUUGAUAAUACCGAGAGCUAAUGACGGUACCUGAAGAAUAAGCACCGGCUAACUACGUGCCAGCCGCCGCAGUAA